UCUCGGCAACGGAUAUCUCGGCUCUCGCAUCGAUGAAGAACGCAGCGAAGUGCGAUACCUGGUGUGAAUUGCAGAAUCCCGCGAACCAUCGAGUCUUUGAACGCAAGUUGCGCCCGAGGCCAUCCGGCCGAGGGCACGCCUGCCUGGGCGUCACGCCAAAAGACGCU
RNAcentral lists this ribosomal RNA (167 nucleotides) under Zizania latifolia. RNAcentral's name for it is "5.8S ribosomal RNA". It matches the Rfam family "5.8S ribosomal RNA". From Rfam's summary of the family: 5.8S ribosomal RNA (5.8S rRNA) is a component of the large subunit of the eukaryotic ribosome. It is transcribed by RNA polymerase I as part of the 45S precursor that also contains 18S and 28S rRNA. RNAcentral also lists the same sequence under 1 other name. Lineage: Eukaryota; Viridiplantae; Streptophyta; Magnoliopsida; Poales; Poaceae. The record is from RNAcentral.